Nyctereutes procyonoides (raccoon dog) is the source of this 1139-nucleotide long non-coding RNA. RefSeq lists it as uncharacterized. The transcript has 3 exons. The record is from RefSeq and is a predicted model, not a curated record. NCBI's taxonomy places the organism in Eukaryota, Metazoa, Chordata, Mammalia, Carnivora, Canidae.
CAUUUUGUAUAAGUCGACAUUCAUCAACUUUUUUGAGAGGUGGAAAUGAGGUACUGGAUUUUUCAUGAAACGUGCACUUUCAGUUUUGUUAAUUUACUUGUGAGCUUAUCGUUGCUGAUAGGGUUUACCUAAAAAUAAAAAUGUAUUGCCAAACAUUACAGUGCACACCCAGGUGAAGAUUGGACGCAUACAAUGAAUGACACAACUCUAGCAAGAACAUGCGAUCUUUCUCUCCCUCUUCUACGGUAAGAAUGCUCACCAGCUAUGGUUUGCACACAUUCCUGUAUGCUCAGUAUAGAACUGCCCAUCUUUCUUUUUAUUCUGCUGACUAGUGGCCUGGUGGCCUUGUACAUCCUACAGCUUGGGACGCAAGAUAGACGCCCAGGUACUGGCAGGGGCAACAACCAUUGUGACUUCUCCCACCAAAACCUAAUAAUUGGGAAGUUAGCUGCCUGAGAACACCUUCUUAGGGAGCCCCUACAUCAGGGCUUGACACACAGAGGUGUUGGUAAGCUGCUUUUGGAAGGGGUCAGGAAAAAAGUGAUCUCUGAAAGUCUUUCAGAUUUGAUUAUGCAUUAUAAUAAGGACUCUCUUCACUGUGCGUGAGCCUCACAGGUUACCAGACAGACUAGCCCAUGGCAGAAGCUGACAGAGCAAAAUGGAAGCCAACCACACAUAUCCUAACUACUGAGUUCAGAUGGAGAGAAUUUGGAGACCAAGGGUGGAAGGAGCAAGGGAUUACCAUAACUGACCAUCACUGAAGAAUAUAGUGACAUGGUGUCAAGCAUUGUGCAUAAGUUGCAGCUGAAAACAACCCUUUGGAUUGUUUUAAACAUGGAUGAACAUGGAUGGAAACCAUAGACACUUGGCAAACUAUGGCUUCAGGCACUGUCCCCAUGGCACUUACACCAAGCACAACAUGGAGACCUUGUGACCCUCGAUUUUGACUGUGUUUGAAGACCACAUCAAUGGGUCCUUCUUGCAAACUAAUCAUAGGCUUGGAAUUCUGUGGUGUUUCUUCUUCAUCUUCUCCUUUAAAAUAUCCUUAACCUUUUCCCCCUUCAAUAUAGUGUUGAUUAUACAUGCCCAGCUCUGAUAUACAAUAUUUUUUAUUUUUAAAAUAAAAAUUGAGGAGGCGA